This 103-nucleotide microRNA precursor is filed under the name Marmota monax (woodchuck). The record is from RNAcentral. Lineage: Eukaryota; Metazoa; Chordata; Mammalia; Rodentia; Sciuridae.
AGAGGGAUAGUUGGGUCAAAUGGUAGUUCCAUUCCCAGAUUUCCAAGGAAUCUCCAUACUGCUUUCCAUAUUGGCUGUACCAAUUUGCAGUCCCACCAGCAGU